This 497-nucleotide ribosomal RNA is filed under the name uncultured bacterium. Its description in RNAcentral is "partial 16S ribosomal RNA". It matches the Rfam family "Bacterial small subunit ribosomal RNA", at positions 28 to 507 of the family's 1533-position model. The record is from RNAcentral.
GAUGAACGCUGGCGGCGUGCCUAAUACAUGCAAGUCGAGCGAACAGAUGAGGAGCUUGCUCCUCUGACGUUAGCGGCGGACGGGUGAGUAACACGUGGAUAACCUACCUAUAAGACUGGGAUAACUUCGGGAAACCGGAGCUAAUACCGGAUAAUAUAUUGAACCGCAUGGUUCAAUAGUGAAAGACGGUUUUGCUGUCACUUAUAGAUGGAUCCGCGCCGCAUUAGCUAGUUGGUAAGGUAACGGCUUACCAAGGCGACGAUGCGUAGCCGACCUGAGAGGGUGAUCGGCCACACGGGAACUGAGACACGGUCCAGACUCCUACGGGAGGCAGCAGUAGGGAAUCUUCCGCAAAGGGCGAAAGCCUGACGGAGCAACGCCGCGUGAGUGAUGAAGGUCUUCGGAUCGUAAAACUCUGUUAUUAGGGAAGAACAAAUGUGUAAGUAACUAUGCACGUCUUGACGGUACCUAAUCAGAAAGCCACGGCUAACUACGUG